Molecule: microRNA precursor, 132 nt
Filed under: Cricetulus griseus (Chinese hamster)
Lineage: Eukaryota; Metazoa; Chordata; Mammalia; Rodentia; Cricetidae
Description: miRNA (ENSCGRG00000021548.1)
Source: RNAcentral
GGUUUCUCUGUGUAGCUUUGGAGCCUGUCCUGGCACUCACUCUGGAGACCAGGCUGGCCUCGAACUCAACAGAGAUCUGCCUGACUCUGCCUCCCCAGUCCUGGGAUUAAAGGUGUGCGCCACCAACGCCCG